AUUAUUUAUGUGAUCGCUGAUCUGCUAGAUGGAUAUAGAAAGCACCAAGAAUUAUAAUAAUUUAUGGAGUGGAGCACUGGUUUACAAACAUAUUUCUCUGCCCGAGCUUUGUGUGUUUCUUUGCGUCUCGGGGCUCGUUCUGUGCAAUGGGAACGGAGAAUAUUCAGAAUUUGAAGACAAGCCCGGCGAGCCGACUGCAUUCAUAGCUAAAAUUAAAGGAAUAAGUGAGCAGCUAUUUGUGGCAGACAGGACAUGAUCCAUCUGUUUCCAGGUCUGGCGGGGGGCCGGGCUGCGGUGGCGGCAGCGGUGGGAGAUGCCGGGGCGGCCAGCGGAGGUCCAUGUGGCGCUCUAGGUGGGAUGCCGGCGUCCUGAAGGCGGAGGCCCUGGCCCUCCUCCCCUGCGGCCUGGGCAUGGCAUUCUCCCAGUCCCACGUGAUGGCCGCUCGGCGGCACCAGCACAGCCGGCUCAUCAUCGAGGUGGACGAGUACAGCUCCAACCCCACCCAGGCCUUCACCUUCUACAACAUCAACCAGGGCCGCUUCCAGCCACCGCAUGUGCAGAUGUAAGUGGGACCGGUG
This 578-nucleotide small RNA is filed under the name Pan troglodytes (chimpanzee). RNAcentral's name for it is "processed transcript". The record is from RNAcentral. Lineage: Eukaryota; Metazoa; Chordata; Mammalia; Primates; Hominidae.